AAGAAAUGCUACCCAAGAAUAUGUACUUUAUAAACAUUUCAACUGUAAUCUGGAAUAAAAUUAAAUAAAUAAGGAAACAGUAUAUUCAUAUAUCUUUUUUGUACUUUGAUGGUUUCACACCACAAGUUCCGAGAUGGUAAUUGUGCUGCAUAUGUCUGCUCUCUUACUUUGUUUUUCUGAACAGGUAGGUUCCGGAAGAUGUCAUGAAGAAUUUCUUUGAGAGAAUUUGCGUGAGCUGAUCUGUAGCAGUGCGGAAGGUGAGCUUGGCUGCCGGCAGCAGCUCCUUUGGCUGAUCUGCGGCGAUGCAGAAGUUGGGUUGGAAAGAAGCACGACCGGCUGCUCUGAAGUGGGUCGUAGGGAGAGCUUCGUAAGAGAUAGGGAGGGAGCUCUAUUGGCCCGUGCAUGACAUCCAACCCAAUGGCAUCAUGCCCUGGUAGGCAUGGUUGCAUGGCCACGGGGAGAAUGGAGCAAGUAGCGUGUGAGGAGUUUAAGAAAUGGGGACAAAGGACAGUUUAGUUAAUUAAGUCUAUGUUAGUUUCAAGUUUUAUCCUUGUUGCGGUAAAAAAUUUAGGUUGGAUUAACCACCAUGUACAUCUUUAAUUACUUUUAAAUAAGAAAUAUAAUCAAAAUAUUCUUUUGAAAUCAUAAAAUUUAUAUAAUUUGUACAAGUACAUGAAGGUGGAACAGGAGGAAGGGUGGGAGAAGAUUAGGCCCCGUUUGGUAACAAAGUAUUUUCUAUGUAUUCCCAUAAUACUGCAGUUUUUUAUAAUACUGUAGU
Long non-coding RNA from Triticum aestivum (bread wheat), 778 nucleotides. RefSeq lists it as uncharacterized. The record is from RefSeq and is a predicted model, not a curated record. The transcript has 3 exons. Lineage: Eukaryota; Viridiplantae; Streptophyta; Magnoliopsida; Poales; Poaceae.